Molecule: ribosomal RNA, 862 nt
Filed under: Alternaria ethzedia
Lineage: Eukaryota; Fungi; Ascomycota; Dothideomycetes; Pleosporales; Pleosporaceae
Description: eukaryotic LSU rRNA
Rfam family: Eukaryotic large subunit ribosomal RNA
Source: RNAcentral
AAGAAACCAACCGGGAUUGCCCUAGUAACGGCGAGUGAAGCGGCAACAGCUCAAAUUUGAAAUCUGGCUCUUUUAGAGUCCGAGUUGUAAUUUGCAGAGGGCGCUUUGGCUUUGGCAGCGGUCCAAGUUCCUUGGAACAGGACGUCACAGAGGGUGAGAAUCCCGUACGUGGUCGCUGGCUAUUGCCGUGUAAAGCCCCUUCGACGAGUCGAGUUGUUUGGGAAUGCAGCUCUAAAUGGGAGGUACAUUUCUUCUAAAGCUAAAUAUUGGCCAGAGACCGAUAGCGCACAAGUAGAGUGAUCGAAAGAUGAAAAGCACUUUGGAAAGAGAGUCAAACAGCACGUGAAAUUGUUGAAAGGGAAGCGCUUGCAGCCAGACUUGCUUGCAGUUGCUCAUCCGGGCUUUUGCCCGGUGCACUCUUCUGCAGGCAGGCCAGCAUCAGUUUGGGCGGUAGGAUAAAGGUCUCUGUCACGUACCUCUCUUCGGGGAGGCCUUAUAGGGGAGACGACAUACUACCAGCCUGGACUGAGGUCCGCGCAUCUGCUAGGAUGCUGGCGUAAUGGCUGUAAGCGGCCCGUCUUGAAACACGGACCAAGGAGUCUAACAUCUAUGCGAGUGUUUGGGUGUCAAGCCCGAGCGCGUAAUGAAAGUGAACGGAGGUAGGAACCCGCAAGGGUGCACUAUCGACCGAUCCUGAUGUCUUCGGAAGGAUUUGAGUAAGAGCAUGGCUGUUGGGACCCGAAAGAUGGUGAACUAUGCUUGAAUAGGGUGAAGCCAGAGGAAACUCUGGUGGAGGCUCGCAGCGGUUCUGACGUGCAAAUCGAUCGUCAAAUUUGGGCAUAGGGGCGAAAGACUAAUCGAA